RNAcentral lists this unclassified non-coding RNA (330 nucleotides) under soil metagenome. RNAcentral describes it as "partial contains 5.8S ribosomal RNA, internal transcribed spacer 2, and large subunit ribosomal RNA". The stretch from base 1 to 120 matches the Rfam family "5.8S ribosomal RNA", at positions 35 to 154 of the family's 154-position model. The record is from RNAcentral.
GAUGAAGAACGCAGCGAAAUGCGAUAAGUAAUGUGAAUUGCAGAAUUCAGUGAAUCAUCGAAUCUUUGAACGCACAUUGCGCCCGCCAGUAUUCUGGCGGGCAUGCCUGUUCGAGCGUCAUUUCAACCAUCAAGCCCCAGGCUUGUGUUGGGGGCCUGCAGCUGCUGCAGCCCCCUAAAAGCAGUGGCGGACUCGCUGUCAUACCGAGCGCAGUAGUUACAUCUCGCUCUGGGCAUGGCGGCGGGCACCUGCCGUAAAACACUCUUUCUAAGGUUGACCUCGGAUCAGGUAGGAAUACCCGCUGAACUUAAGCAUAUCAUAAGCGGAGGA